CAUUACCGAGUGAGGGCCCUCUGGGUCCAACCUCCCACCCNNGNNNAUCGUACCUUGUUGCUUCGGCGGGCCCGCCUCGCGGCCGCCGGGGGGCUUCUGCCCUCUGGCCCGCGCCCGCCGAAGACACCAUUGAACGCUGUCUGAAGAUUGCAGUCUGAGCAAUUAGCUAAAUAAGUUAAAACUUUCAACAACGGAUCUCUUGGUUCCGGCAUCGAUGAAGAACGCAGCGAAAUGCGAUACGUAAUGUGAAUUGCAGAAUUCAGUGAAUCAUCGAGUCUUUGAACGCACAUUGCGCCCCCUGGUAUUCCGGGGGGCAUGCCUGUCCGAGCGUCAUUGCUGCCCUCAAGCACGGCUUGUGUGUUGGGCCUCCGUCCUCCUUCCGGGGGGACGGGCCCGAAAGGCAGCGGCGGCACCGCGUCCGGUCCUCGAGCGUAUGGGGCUUCGUCACCCGCUCUUGUAGGCCCGGCCGGCGCUUGCCGACACAUCAAUCUUUUUUCCAGGUUGACCUCGGAUCAGGUAGGGAUACCCGCUGAACUUAAGCAUAUCAAUAAGCGGAGGAAAAGAAACCAACAGGGAUUGCCCCAGUAACGGCGAGUGAAGCGGCAAGAGCUCAAAUUUGAAAGCUGGCCCCCUCGGGGUCCGCAUUGUAAUUUGCAGAGGAUGCUUCGGAAGUGGCCCCCAUCUAAGUGCUCUGGAACGGGCCGUCAUAGAGGGUGAGAAUCCCGUAUGGGAUGGGGUGUCCGCGACCAUGUGAAGCUCCUUCAACGAGUCGAGUUGUUUGGGAAUGCAGCUCUAAAUGGGUGGUAAAUUUCAUCUAAAGCUAAAUAUUGGCCGGAGACCGAUAGCGCACAAGUAGAGUGAUCGAAAGAUGAAAAGCACUUUGAAAAGAGAGUUAAAAAGCACGUGAAAUUGUUGAAAGGGAAGCGCUUGCGACCAGACUCGCCUGCGGGGUUCAGCCGGUAUUCGUACCGGUGUACUUCCCCGUGGGCGGGCCAGCGUCGGUUUGGGCGGCCGGUCAAAGGCCCUCGGAAUGUAACGCCUNNCGGGGCGUCUUAUAGCCGAGGGUGCCAUGCGGCCAGCCCGGACCG
RNAcentral lists this ribosomal RNA (1088 nucleotides) under Penicillium sp. PDKA15. RNAcentral's name for it is "eukaryotic LSU rRNA". The stretch from base 503 to 1088 matches the Rfam family "Eukaryotic large subunit ribosomal RNA", at positions 1 to 591 of the family's 3401-position model. The record is from RNAcentral. Lineage: Eukaryota; Fungi; Ascomycota; Eurotiomycetes; Eurotiales; Aspergillaceae.